Panthera uncia (snow leopard) is the source of this 1793-nucleotide long non-coding RNA. RefSeq lists it as uncharacterized. The transcript is spliced from 4 exons. The record is from RefSeq and is a predicted model, not a curated record. Lineage: Eukaryota; Metazoa; Chordata; Mammalia; Carnivora; Felidae.
UAUCUUGUGUCUGUUUCUCUCCUCUAGAGUUUAAAUUUCCAAGGGCAAGGAUUUUUGUCUGUUUUAUUCCUUGCCAGCUCUCCAAUAUGCACAAGAAUGCCUGACUCAAGACAGAAUCCUAUAAAUAUUUGUUCAAUGGGUAGAGAAAUGAUCAAUGGAUCUCACCGAACAUAUAAAAAGAUUGUCAGGGAGACAAAAUUACUCUCCCAAGAGUUACACAUCCGGCAAGGGGUGAGUUGGGAUUUGAGUUUGGGUCUGUCCCUUUCCUAGGGACUUUUCCUUCUCCAUAGCACUUAUCACCGCUUAUGUAUUAUUUCUGGGGCUGUGUUUGGUGUCUUUCUCCUCUCCCACCAGAAUGGGGGCUCCAGUGAGAACAGAGUUCAUGUGUUUUGCUCAUAGUUGUCUCCCCAGCACCCAGACAGAGCUCCCCAGCACCCAGGAAGCAGCUCAUAAAUAUACGCUGAGCGACACUUUAUUCUCACAAGAAAUCCUGCAAAGUAUGUUUCCUCUGUGCUAUUUUACACAUGGGGACAUUGAGGCUCAACCAGAGAAGUGAUUUGCCUUGCUUAAGGUCAUCUGGCUAAUGAAUAGAGAGCUGGGAUUUGAACCCAGGCCUCCUGAGCUCAUUGGUCAUGGAGAAGGGGACCCCCAUUUAACGCUUGCUGGUUCGACCCACCCAAAGGCAACAGCUGCUUGGCCGAAAGCUCCACUCACAACCGACCAGGGAAGGCAUUUCCCCCUCAAGGUCAGCAGUGUCAGGGCCGAUGUGAAACUCACCCUUAAUGCACAACUCCCCAGUUUCGUCCAUUUAAGUAAAAACUUUGAUGUUAUUUUAACCCAAAUCCCCCGUUGACUUCAAUGGAAGCUUUGAAUCCACGAGGAAGGUCAGACAGUGUUUUUGGAGGUAACAUGGGCACCCAAUGGAAAUCAUAUUAGCAUACUCAUUAUCAUCAGGGCCCUUUGAAUGUGUUUUUUAGCUGCUCCCUUAAAGUUGACUUGGUGACAAUGGAUCCUUUCUGUUCAGGAAUCACUGGGCCAGAGUGGAGCUGUGGUCGGCUCCUGUGUGCUUUUCUGUGCUUUUCAAAUGAUGACAGUGAACCCAUGUUGCAUAAGGUAAUGGAAAGAACGCCAUCCACCAGGCACCCUGGUGGUGAAUGAAGUACAUUGUCUUGGUUUGAAAGAAAUAACUCUUUAAGUCACUUGUGCUGGGACCCCAGGGAUGGGCUCAGGUAACAAAAGGUGUUGCUAAACGGCCUUCCAAGAAAGCUGGUCCCUGUUAACGGGAGGCCCCUGGGCGCAGAAAAAAAAAAAAAAAAAAAUCAGGGAUUGGCCUUGGUUGACAAGAUGGUUGUUCAACUUGAGAAAAUUCCAGAAUUGCCUGGGGAGCAUUUACUACACCCAGUGCCCAGCGCCCCCACAUCAGACCAUUUGGUUCCAAAUCCUGGGAAGUGGGGAGACCAGAAGGCAUCAAAGGUUUCUAAGUGUCCUCAGAUGACUCCGGUAGGCCAAGCGGCAGCUAGGAAAUGUUCAAACUACGGAAAAGUGCAGAGAAUCGUACGACGACCCCACUACCUGGUACCAGCCUCAUCAAUCACCAACACGGAGUCCCUCCGGUGUGAGGGGGUUUAAGAAUCCCUAAUUUCAGCAGGACAUGUGGCAGCCCAGAAUGAAGAUUACACUUCCCUGCUUUCUUUCCGAAUCCCAGCCAUGCUGGACUAUGUGAUGAAUUAAAGAUGGCUACUGAUUCUUUGGUCCUUCUUCCUUCAAGAGGAAGAGUUUGUUUGGACUUCCUC